CCCCUCCAGGACGCACGGACCCAGGGGACCCUCUGUCCCCCCCUUCCAGGACGCACGGACCCAGGGGACCCUCUGUCCCCCCCCCCCAGGACGCACGGACACAGGGGACUCUCCCUUACCCCCCCCCCCGAACACACAGACCCAGGGGACCCUCUGUCCCCCCUCUCCAGGACGCACGGACCCAGGGGACCCUCCCUCCCCCUCCCUCCAGGACGCACGGACCCAGGGGACCCCCUGUCCCCUCCCUCCAGGAUGCACGGGCCCAGGGGACCCUCCCUCCCCCUCCCUCCAGGACGCACGGACCCAGGGGACCCUCCGUCCCCCCACUCUAGGAUGCACGGCCACAGGGGACCCUCCGUCCCCGCCCUCCACGCCAGCCGGACGCACGGACACAGAUCCCCUCCCUCCGGGACGCACGGACACGGGGGACCCCCCCCCCCCCGCGUCCCCCCUCUCCAGGACGGACGGACCCAGGGGACCCGGCUGGACGUCCCCGGCGGCGGCCUGCACUUGGCCUUGAGCUGAAUUUCCAAAGGUGCAGCUUUGACCGUGACCCAGAAACAAGAGGGUAUUAGAAGCGCCGGAAAGGGAUGCCGAGCAGAACCCAAAGGGACCUCAAAAACAGAAUGAGGGCAAGCAGACGUAACAGCGUGACCUAAAAAAACGAUGUGGCCUAAAGGAAAGAACCUGAGCCUGCGGCAUCAGAGGACCUGGGUUCUAAUCCCUACUCUGCCACCUGUCUGCUGUGUGACCUUGGGGUCGAUCACCUUGGACCCAACUGACCUGCCUGAGGACAGCUCCCGGUGACCCCGCGCUCCAGAAAAAUGCAUUCGGAUUUCUUAUUCAGGCCCCAGAACCUCACCCCAAAGCCCUCCCACCUGGUGAAAGCAAACAGACCGGAAGAGCCAAAAUACUCCGUUGAUCCCCGGCCCACGUCCUAACAGUGACCCGGAACGCCCUCCCUCCUCACAUCCGCCAAACUCACUCUCUUCCCCUCU
This is a long non-coding RNA of Ornithorhynchus anatinus (platypus), 998 nucleotides long. RefSeq lists it as uncharacterized. The transcript is spliced from 4 exons. The record is from RefSeq and is a predicted model, not a curated record. Lineage: Eukaryota; Metazoa; Chordata; Mammalia; Monotremata; Ornithorhynchidae.